Molecule: ribosomal RNA, 253 nt
Filed under: uncultured bacterium
Lineage: Bacteria
Description: partial 16S ribosomal RNA
Rfam family: Bacterial small subunit ribosomal RNA
Source: RNAcentral
CACGUAGGGCGCAAGCGUUGUCCGGAAUUAUUGGGCGUAAAGAGCUCGUAGGCGGUCUGUUGCGUCCGCUGUGAAAACUCGGGGCUUAACCCCGAGCCUGCAGUGGAUACGGGCAGACUAGAGGUAGGUAGGGGAGAAUGGAAUUCCUGGUGUAGCGGUGAAAUGCGCAGAUAUCAGGAAGAACACCCGUGGCGAAGGCGGCUCUCUGGGACGGUACUGACGCUGAGACGCGAAAGCGUGGGGAGCGAACAGG